This 427-nucleotide ribosomal RNA is filed under the name uncultured Dokdonella sp. RNAcentral's name for it is "bacterial SSU rRNA". It matches the Rfam family "Bacterial small subunit ribosomal RNA", at positions 355 to 774 of the family's 1533-position model. The record is from RNAcentral. Lineage: Bacteria; Pseudomonadati; Pseudomonadota; Gammaproteobacteria; Lysobacterales; Rhodanobacteraceae.
UGGGGAAUAUUGGACAAUGGGCGCAAGCCUGAUCCAGCCAUGCCGCGUGGGUGAAGAAGGCCUUCGGGUUGUAAAGCCCUUUUGUUGGGGAAGAAAUCGUACGGGCGAAUAUCCCGUGCGGAUGACGGUACCCAAAGAAUAAGCACCGGCUAACUUCGUGCCAGCAGCCGCGGUAAUACGAAGGGUGCAAGCGUUACUCGGAAUUACUGGGCGUAAAGCGUGCGUAGGCGGUUUGUUAAGUCCGCUGUGAAAGCCCUGGGCUCAACCUGGGAAUUGCAGUGGAUACUGGCAAGCUAGAGUGCGGUAGAGGAUGGUGGAAUUCCCGGUGUAGCGGUGAAAUGCGUAGAGAUCGGGAGGAACACCCGUGGCGAAGGCGGCCAUCUGGACCAGCACUGACGCUGAGGCACGAAAGCGUGGGGAGCAAACA